Molecule: ribosomal RNA, 447 nt
Filed under: uncultured bacterium
Lineage: Bacteria
Description: bacterial SSU rRNA
Rfam family: Bacterial small subunit ribosomal RNA
Source: RNAcentral
UGGGGAAUUUUGGACAAUGGGCGCAAGCCUGAUCCAGCCAUGCCGCGUGAGUGAUGAAGGCCUUAGGGUUGUAAAGCUCUUUUGCCGGGGACGAUAAUGACGGUACCCGGAGAAUAAGUCCCGGCUAACUUCGUGCCAGCAGCCGCGGUAAUACGAAGGGGACUAGCGUUGUUCGGAAUCACUGGGCGUAAAGCGCACGUAGGCGGAUUUGUAAGUCAGGGGUGAAAUCCCGGGGCUCAACCUCGGAACUGCCUUUGAUACUGCGGAUCUCGAGUCCGAUAGAGGUGAGUGGAAUUCCUAGUGUAGAGGUGAAAUUCGUAGAUAUUAGGAAGAACACCGGUGGCGAAGGCGGCUCACUGGAUCGGUACUGACGCUGAGGUGCGAAAGCGUGGGGAGCAAACAGGAUUAGAUACCCGCGUAGUCCCUGAGCGGGCUGGCAAGGCGCAU